CCUGCAGGAAAGGACAUCAACCGAGACUCCGCAAGUAGUGGCGAGCGAACGCGGACCAGGCCAGUGGCACUGAGGAAUAAAGUGGAACGACAUGGAAAGGUCGGCCGUAGAGGGUGAUAGCCCCUUACACGUAGAACACUCAGUGUCCUUGAGUAAGGCGGGACACGUGAAAUCCUGUCUGAACAUGGGGAGACCACUCUCCAAGCCUAAGUACUCGUGCAUGACCGAUAGCGAACAAGUACCGUGAGGGAAAGGUGAAAAGCACCCCGACAAGGGGAGUGAAAUAGAACCUGAAACCGGAUGCCUACAAACAGUUGGAGCCCGCAAGGGUGACAGCGUACCUUUUGUAUAAUGGGUCAACGACUUAGUGUGACGAGCAAGCUUAAGCCGAUAGGUGAAGGCGCAGCGAAAGCGAGUCUGAACAGGGCGUUCAGUUCGUCGCAUUAGACCCGAAACCGAGUGAUCUAGCCAUGAGCAGGUUGAAGGUUGGGUAACACCAACUGGAGGACCGAACCCGCAUCUGUUGCAAUAGAUUGGGAUGACUUGUGGUUAGGGGUGAAAGGCCAAUCAAACUCGGAAAUAGCUGGUUCUCCGCGAAAACUAUUUAGGUAGUGCGUCGACCGAAUACCCUCGGGGGUAGAGCACUGGAUGGGCUAUGGGGACUCACCGUCUUACUGAUCCUAACCAAACUCCGAAUACCGAGGAGUACUAGUCGGCAGACACACGGCGGGUGCUAACGUCCGUCGUGAAAAGGGCAACAACCCUGACCUCCAGCUAAGGUCCCCAAGUCAUGGCUAAGUGGGAAAGGAUGUGAGGAUCCCAAAACAACCAGGAUGUUGGCUUAGAAGCAGCCAUCAUUUAAAGAAAGCGUAACAGCUCACUGGUCUAAUUAAGGGUCUUUGCGCCGAAAAUGUAACGGGGCUAAAGCCAUGCACCGAAGCUGAGGAUGUAUCGCAAGAUACGUGGUAGCGGAGCGUUCCGUAAGCCUGUGAAGGGAUACCCGUGAGGGGUCCUGGAGGUAUCGGAAGUGCGAAUGUUGACAUGAGUAACGAUAAAGAGGGUGAGAGACCCUCUCGCCGAAAGACCAAGGGUUCCUGCUUAAAGUUAAUCUGAGCAGGGUUAGCCGGCCCCUAAGACGAGGCGGACACGCGUAGUCGAUGGGAACCACGUUAAUAUUCGUGGGCCUGGUGGUAGUGACGGAUCGCUUAACUUGUUUGGACUUAUUGGAUUGUCCAGGCGGGGACGCGGUUCCAGGAAAUAGCUCCACCAUUAUAGACCGUACCCGAAACCGACACAGGUGGUCAGGUAGAGUAUACCAAGGCGCUUGAGAGAACUAUGCUGAAGGAACUCGGCAAAUUGCACGCGUAACUUCGGAAGAAGCGUGACCCUUUUUGACGCAAGUCAGAUGGGGUGGCACAGACCAGGGGGUAGCGACUGUUUAUCAAAAACACAGGGCUCUGCGAAGUCGCAAGACGACGUAUAGGGUCUGACGCCUGCCCGGUGCUGGAAGGUUAAGAGGAGGGGUGCAAGCUCUGAAUCGAAGCCCCAGUAAACGGCGGCCGUAACUAUAACGGUCCUAAGGUAGCGAAAUUCCUUGUCGGGUAAGUUCCGACCUGCACGAAUGGCGUAACGACUUCCCCGCUGUCUCCAGCAUAGACUCAGUGAAAUUGAAUUCCCCGUGAAGAUGCGGGGUUCCUGCGGUCAGACGGAAAGACCCCGUGCACCUUUACUAUAGCUUUACACUGGCAUUCGUGUCGGCAUGUGUAGGAUAGGUGGUAGGCUUUGAAGCAGGGACGCCAGUUCUUGUGGAGCCAUCCUUGAAAUACCACCCUUAUCGUCAUGGAUGUCUAACCGCGGUCCGUCAUCCGGAUCCGGGACAGUGUAU
Molecule: ribosomal RNA, 1885 nt
Filed under: Ensifer adhaerens
Lineage: Bacteria; Pseudomonadati; Pseudomonadota; Alphaproteobacteria; Hyphomicrobiales; Rhizobiaceae
Description: bacterial LSU rRNA
Rfam family: Bacterial large subunit ribosomal RNA
Source: RNAcentral